Long non-coding RNA from Erigeron canadensis, 676 nucleotides. RefSeq lists it as uncharacterized. The transcript has 2 exons. NCBI's taxonomy places the organism in Eukaryota, Viridiplantae, Streptophyta, Magnoliopsida, Asterales, Asteraceae. The record is from RefSeq and is a predicted model, not a curated record.
AUAUUUGACAUAAAUUUGUCAAAACUUUAUUGUAUACCCUCCGCUUCAUCAGGACCCUCACUUUCUCACUCAACUCACUCAGACGCUCGCCAAAAACGUAUCCCACGGCAACGCGCGGGGUCAACAACUAGUUUAACUCUGAGUUAAAAAAUUUUGGUUAUAAUUGUUUUGAUGCUUUUAUUAUAUAUACUUUCUAUCUUUUUUUAUUAUAAAUGGUAAUUCCCUACAGGGACUCUAAAAUUGAUGGGACGAGACAUUUUCUCAUCAGAAACGGGAGACUUAUGAACCAAAAUGUCCGUGCAACGGGUACCUUUUUAUUGGCAGGAAGAAAUUACAAAUGAUGAUAAUAGUGUAACCACCGUUACACAAAGGGCAACAACUGAUACACUUGUAGGUAUGGAUCGGCCUACUCCUUUUUUCUCAUUUCCAAUCCUCUUUACUAAAUAAUUUUCUUUGAGUUCUCUUACAGGUUGUACUUAUUAGGAUGUUGAUGAAAUCAUGAGGUGGUAAAGAUGUGCAUGUGAUCAUAGAUAUUGUUAGAUGCAGUUGGUUAUAGUAGACUUUUUCAUGAUCCUUAAUUUAAAUUUGUGUUAUCGUUUCUUUUGAGUCUGUUUAUAACCAACGUGUAAGAAUUUGCAUUGACAAAUUGUCAAAACUUUGUUGAUUGUUUCUUUAA